UUUUAUAUUCCAAAUUUGCAAACUGCAUACCAAAUUUACAGUUUCAAAUUGCAAAUUAAUCUUUAUAAUGCCAUUAAAAAUUUGUAAUGUUAUACAAAACAUGCAGGAAUAUGUGUCAACUCAAGGAAGUCAGGUUUGCGCGGAUUUUGUGUUAGAUUACACCACUCAAUUCACAACUGAACAGGUAUUCAAAAGUAAGGAUGAAUUGCUCAGCUGGGUACGUGAAGUUGGAAAGAGAAAUGGUUUGGUCAUUGUAAUCAAAACAUCAGACUAUGGUGGAGG
This is a non-coding RNA of Camellia sinensis, 282 nucleotides long. NCBI's taxonomy places the organism in Eukaryota, Viridiplantae, Streptophyta, Magnoliopsida, Ericales, Theaceae. The record is from RefSeq and is a predicted model, not a curated record.